GUGGGUUUUGGAAUGAUUUUUGCAGAGAUAGUCACGACCUUAGUCACACAAGAGCGAUGGCAAGAUUUUCACCCAAGCCAUCUGACUUGGAACCCAUGGAUUAACCAACUGCCACUGGAGGCAAAUCCAGAGACCAAGGGAGCAGUUUAUACAGAAACAGAUGCCGGCAUUAACCCACAGGGAGUUAUUGUUACAGACUGAAGAAUAGAAAAAGAAAAAGCCAAAUAGAGCCUUAUUC
Molecule: long non-coding RNA, 238 nt
Filed under: Homo sapiens (human)
Lineage: Eukaryota; Metazoa; Chordata; Mammalia; Primates; Hominidae
Description: non-protein coding lnc-COIL-2:6
Source: RNAcentral